UGAACGCUGGCGGCGUGCUUAACACAUGCAAGUCGAACGAAGCACUUAUGACAGAUUCUUCGGAAGAUGGAUUAAGUGACUGAGUGGCGGACGGGUGAGUAACGCGUGGGUAACCUGCCUCAUACAGGGGGAUAACAGUUAGAAAUGACUGCUAAUACCGCAUAAGCGCACAGUACCGCAUGGUACGGUGUGAAAAACUCCGGUGGUAUGAGAUGGACCCGCGUCUGAUUAGCUAGUUGGUGGGUAACGGCCUACCAAGGCGACGAUCAGUAGCCGACCUGAGAGGGUGACCGGCCACAUUGGGACUGAGACACGGCCCAAACUCCUACGGGAGGCAGCAGUGGGGAAUAUUGCACAAUGGGCGAAAGCCUGAUGCAGCGACGCCGCGUGAGCGAUGAAGUAUUUCGGUAUGUAAAGCUCUAUCAGCAGGGAAGAAAAUGACGGUACCUGACUAAGAAGCACCGGCUAAAUACGUG
This 476-nucleotide ribosomal RNA is filed under the name uncultured bacterium. RNAcentral describes it as "bacterial SSU rRNA". It matches the Rfam family "Bacterial small subunit ribosomal RNA", at positions 30 to 507 of the family's 1533-position model. The record is from RNAcentral.